GCGUGGGCACCUUUAGGUACGCCUUCUCACUCAUUCCUAGCGGAAAGGCAGCCUUAUCAAAAUUGUACAUAAAUUAUAAGCGUUUUAUUUACCUAUUUUAAAUAAUUAUUCUAUUUCAUCUAAUAUUUAUAUUAAUACAAAUAAUAACACAGAUAAAAUAGAGACUAUAAAAAAACAAAACUCCAAAUUGGUCACAAGUUAGAGUUUCAUUAGUUUACAAAAGUAAAAAAUAUCAUCGAAUACGAACAAUCUACGAUACGAACAUAAUAUACAAUUUAAUUGACAUUCAAUAAUAAUAGUCAUUUGAAAUAACACAUUAUAUUAUCUGAAUUUACAUAGUUCUCACUGAACAAUUUUAUUGCCAUAAGUUUAGAUUUUUGGGCAUAUUAUACGUACCUAAAACCUAAAUAAUAUUGCAAAUAUUGAGCAAAAAUUUUCUUAUAGAUUAAUCAUUUUUCAUAAGCUUUUAUUACCCAAACUACUUUAAUACCAAAAAUAGUUAAUUAUUGGCGUUAAUUAAGCGGCGAAGGCUUAGUUUAGUUUACCCAAUAAAGGAUUAAUAUAUUUGUGUAUAUAUGUGAAAAAUAGAUGUGCAAAAUACCUAUUUUACAACCUACCCAAAGAUAAUAUUACAAUAAUGGCCAUGAUAUAAUUGAAACUUUAUUUUAGCGUUUAAACUAUCAUAUAAUUUCAUAUCCAUUAAAAAUAUGAUUCUCUUACGGUUUGACUCACGCGAUAUUGGUCAGAGUAAGUAUGCCCGAUUAGUUCGACAUAGUGUCGCAAGCAGAGGCCCUUUGAGAAACGAGCCUGGACGGUACGUUAUUUAACUUACAGUGCGAUCCUUCUACAAAGUUGUUUGUAAGGCGCCGUUUCCCAAAAAUACACCAAACGGAAAUAGUUUUUAACAAUUUUAUUCCCGUUGAACGGGAAUAGAGAACGGGGACAACGGGACAAGUUUUUAAUAAUUUUAUUCGAAUCCCGCUGUACCCGUUAACGGGGACACGCUUAGCGGGGCCAACGGACUACACGGAGUCGGGCAUACUCCGACUAAUAAAGUGUGUUUAGCCGUAAGAGAUUUUAAAAUUUAUAUUUUGAUUUUAACGCCAAAUCUUCGUAACGCCGCUAAGUCCGUUGAUUCUGGAAAUCUCAAUAACGGAGGUUUAUGCAGCGCAAAAUUGCAACGUCAGUCAUAUUCAACUAUGUAGAUGAACAAACGACUUCAGGUGAAUUGCAGGGUUGGUCAUAACCACUCGAAGCACAAACCCAACUGGGCAUCCAUAGAAAAGAGAUGUGCGCCUAUGUGGUCGUCCAUUAGAAAAGACAAUGGAUAGGACAUAGGAAAGUCCCGUUCUUCAAUCUGGAUAAUAUGGUGACAAUACUGUGAAUUCACUCUUCAUUCAUACAAUAUUGUACGUGAUGAUGCACUUUACGUUGCUUUGUCAUCUAGAUGCAAUUAAUUCUCUCGUACUGAUAAUAUGAAACACUAUUAUCAAAUAGGAAUGUCCAAGAUUUUUCAAAUACUCGUAGUUUCAGCAACGCCCUUUUGGACAUCUAGAAGGUAUUUUUAUUAAACCAGCU
Long non-coding RNA from Maniola jurtina (meadow brown), 1578 nucleotides. RefSeq lists it as uncharacterized. The transcript is spliced from 3 exons. The record is from RefSeq and is a predicted model, not a curated record. Lineage: Eukaryota; Metazoa; Arthropoda; Insecta; Lepidoptera; Nymphalidae.